AGGCUCCUGCUAGAGGUGGGGUGGAUCUGUAGGGAUGGCCUCAGGGAAUGUCAUGUCCCUCCCUUUCCAGGGUGCCAUGAACAUAGGGCAGUAGGAGUGAGGAGGACAGGGUGCCAUGGGGACUGAUGUUAUGGAAGAGGGGGACUUGAGCUGGCUCAGGAUAGGAUGAGGGUAGAAGCUGGAGGAUAGCACAGGAGAGAGGGACAACGUGCGCAAGUCGAGUAUGGAGAUGACGAUACCUUAGUUGGGACUGGUGCUUUUGCAGGAUUAGAAAUUCACUCAAACUUACUCAAAUAACAAGAGAUUUAUUUUAAGAAAGCAAGAGACAAGCUCCUGGGUGUAGGAAAUGAAAUAUAACCAGGCCUCUUGGGAACUGGAGCUAGAGAUGCUGUGGGAAACGAAGGCCUUCCCUCCUUUCAGCUACCAUGUUCCUGGAAAACUGGAAGAGGCUACAGAUGCGACUGGGCUACUUUUGGGACCUGACUGGCAUAGAAGAGGAAGAAGAACAUUCCAGGCCUGAGUAUGAAACCAAAGUUCGAGAGAAAAUGCUAAAGGAGAGCAACAAGUCUGCUGUCCAGAAAUUGGAAACAAACACGACGGAGUGUGGCGAUGAGGAUGAUGAAGAUAAACUGACCUGGAAGGAUCGUUUCCCAGGUUACCUGAUGAACUUUGCCUCCAUCUUAUUCAUGAUUGCCCUGACAUUCUCAAUCGUCUUUGGGGUGAU
This 724-nucleotide small RNA is filed under the name Pan troglodytes (chimpanzee). RNAcentral describes it as "processed transcript". Lineage: Eukaryota; Metazoa; Chordata; Mammalia; Primates; Hominidae. The record is from RNAcentral.